Molecule: ribosomal RNA, 253 nt
Filed under: uncultured bacterium
Lineage: Bacteria
Description: partial 16S ribosomal RNA
Rfam family: Bacterial small subunit ribosomal RNA
Source: RNAcentral
GACGUAGGAUGCAAGCGUUGUCCGGAUUUAUUGGGCGUAAAGAGCUCGUAGGCGGUUUGUCGCGUCUGCUGUGAAAACUCGGGGCUUAACCCCGGGCCUGCAGUGGGUGACGGGCAGACUAGAGUGCGGUAGGGGAGACUGGAAUCCUGGUGUAGCGGUGAAAUGCGCAGAUAUCAGGAGGAACACCGGUGGCGAAGGCGGGUCUCUGGGCCGUAACUGACGCUGAGGAGCGAAAGCGUGGGGAGCGAACAGG